This 465-nucleotide ribosomal RNA is filed under the name Vreelandella stevensii. RNAcentral's name for it is "partial 16S ribosomal RNA". It matches the Rfam family "Bacterial small subunit ribosomal RNA", at positions 338 to 795 of the family's 1533-position model. The record is from RNAcentral. Lineage: Bacteria; Pseudomonadati; Pseudomonadota; Gammaproteobacteria; Oceanospirillales; Halomonadaceae.
CCUACGGGUGGCUGCAGUGGGGAAUAUUGGACAAUGGGCGAAAGCCUGAUCCAGCCAUGCCGCGUGUGUGAAGAAGGCCUUCGGGUUGUAAAGCACUUUCAGUGGGGAAGAAAGCCUUGGGGCUAAUACCCUCGAGGAAGGACAUCACCCACAGAAGAAGCACCGGCUAAUUCCGUGCCAGCAGCCGCGGUAAUACGGAGGGUGCGAGCGUUAAUCGGAAUUACUGGGCGUAAAGCGCGCGUAGGCGGUCUGAUAAGCCGGUUGUGAAAGCCCCGGGCUCAACCUGGGAACGGCAUCCGGAACUGUCAGGCUAGAGUGCAGGAGAGGAAGGUAGAAUUCCCGGUGUAGCGGUGAAAUGCGUAGAGAUCGGGAGGAAUACCAGUGGCGAAGGCGGCCUUCUGGACUGACACUGACGCUGAGGUGCGAAAGCGUGGGUAGCAAACAGGAUUAGAUACCCCAGUAGUC